CCUACGGGAGGCAGCAGUAGGGAAUAUUGCUCAAUGGGGGAAACCCUGAAGCAGCAACGCCGCGUGGAGGAUGAAGGUUUUCGGAUUGUAAACUCCUUUUGUUAGAGAAGAUAAUGACGGUAUCUAACGAAUAAGCACCGGCUAACUCCGUGCCAGCAGCCGCGGUAAUACGGAGGGUGCAAGCGUUACUCGGAAUCACUGGGCGUAAAGAGCGAGUAGGCGGGAUAGCAAGUCAGAUGUGAAAUCCUAUGGCUUAACCAUAGAACUGCAUUUGAAACUGGUAUUCUAGAGUAUGGGAGAGGUAGGUGGAAUUCUUGGUGUAGGGGUAAAAUGCGUAGAUAUCAAGAGGAAUACUCAUGGCGAAGGCGACCUGCUAGAACAUAACUGACGCUGAUGCGCGAAAGCGUGGGGAGCAAACAGGAUUAGAUACCCGUGUAGUC
This 440-nucleotide ribosomal RNA is filed under the name uncultured bacterium. RNAcentral's name for it is "partial 16S ribosomal RNA". It matches the Rfam family "Bacterial small subunit ribosomal RNA", at positions 338 to 795 of the family's 1533-position model. The record is from RNAcentral.